GAUUACUAAUAAAACCCCCAAAAUAAAAUAUAAAAAACAAUUCAAAAUGUCUGGAUUUGUAUGGGUGAAUAUGUAUGUUUGACGGAUCUUUAUACAAGAUUAAUAUUAAAUAAAUGGAAUCCAAACUGCGCAAAUUAAAAGAACUACUAUUGACCUCGAGAUAGGUAGAAUCUGACUUGCCCGAAACACGGCUUCAUAUGGAUUAGUCCUACUUACGUACAGCCCAGAAACAAGCAGGAAUCAUCAACACCACCGAUGAAGAAUACAAGUAACUUUCAAAUGCUUUAAACUCCUUACAAACCUGCCUUCCACCAUCUCCCAAACACCAAGUCUUGUUCCGUUCAUGUUUCAUUAUUGUCUUUUAUUUUAUUCCAUAAAAUUCGUUCUUCUUCUCUUUUAUAUAUAUAAUCGUUAUGUGUUUAUAUAUGUUGGAAAAUUGGCUUUGAAUGUUGUAAUUGCAUUUGUUAUAUCAAUAAAAGCAACCAUGUAGUCAUUUAUUUUUGUUAAAGAAAUUUUCUUUCUGACUUUUACUAGACAAAAAAGUCUCAGAUUUGUUUACUCUUGUUUCUCUUAUUUUCUAUAAAAAAAACAUCCAAAUUGUUGCGCAAAAAAAAAAAACAUCCAAAUCCACCGUAACCAAAUCUUACAAUACUAAAAAGGGGAUAUCCUCAAAUUCUAGCUAUGCCACGUUGGUUAAGAAAAUCAACCUAUCAGGAGCUUCCAAAUCGCCACGUCAUCUCUUUGUUACUCGAAACAGGUUUUAAACGGGUCGGUCAAUUCACGUGAGCUCAAAAUAUUAAAAAGAGCCCAAACCUCCUUCCAAGCACUGUUCAAGUCGUCUCUGUCUACUCAACUUCAAGAUCAUCGUUUCCGACCUCUGCAAUCCAACGUUUCUGUUACUCACACUCAUUCAAUUUUGUACUUUAAACUAUCUUAAUAAUAAGAGAUAUUACCCCAUCAAAGCUUUUCACCUCCCCUUCUUUCUGUUCUUAUAUAAACUAAUAAACCCUACAUCAAAGCUUUCAUUGAGGAUCUGCGACCUCCAUACAACCAAAUGAAGAUAUGGCUAUGAAAUCGGCUUAUAUCUCCAGCAAGUCUCCAGACACUGUGAUGCAAGGUUUCAUAUAAUCGUGCUCCACUCUACCUCCCUGACCUCAAACUAGGAUUCACUUAUAGUUCAGGAACUUUUUUGCUAUGAAAAGCAAAGAGAUCUAUUGAGUUGCUGAUCUCGGUUUGGACAUUUGCUUCACUCACAGCUCUGUCCUCUCCGAUCUUGACCACGUGUGCCUCCUAUUGACGCAGACAGGUUUAGGUUCAACUUACAUGAGGUUUUGAAGCCAACUAUAGACUCGGGGGUGACCUCUAUUAUGUCGUUGGCCACAUGAAGCUGCUAAAUGGACAGAUGCUCAUUCAACGCCCGGUCCUUCACGAAGUGGCAACAGCAACCACACAGCGUGUCUUGAUCCAUUUGCAAACUAAGUAGUAUAUUGUCUUCAUCUAUUUCACAUUCUCUGUAUAUAAUAGUAAAGUUUCUAGCUAUGAGUCUAUAACGUAUAUUUGAUGUUCUAAUCAUGGUUACUUUCCAUACUCAUGGUUCUGUUUAUAUUUGUAUGGUUAGUAAUCUGUAUAGAAUAGUUAAAGUUUCUAGAAUCGGUACUUUGACGUUCGGCUCCGUAUGUUUACAGACUCUUCAACUUCUACAUAAAUAUCUCAAUUGUUGCUCUGGUUUAAUUCUGUUUGUAUAAUUUUGAGUCAAAACUCAUACAACUUAUAUAAGACUUUUCCUGGAACACCUUCUACAGGUAAAAUUGUGCUGAUUACUUUGAAAGUUUAUCAUAUAAGUUUUUUUUCGAAAAUUCCAGCUCUGACUAUACAAUGUGUAUUUCUAAUUGAAGCCUUCAUUAGGCCCUUUUUGAUCCAUAAUUAAAAGGUUUGGCAACAGUGGAGAGGGAUCCUUCGUGUCAGCCCAUUACGAAGACGGAAUUUGAUAUCGAGAGAAGAAAAGUUACUAAAGAGGCUAUCAUGGAGUUAAUAUCUAGGGAGAUAACUGAGUACCAUACUCAUCUGCUAAUGAAUUCAAGUUUUAUCUAUCAAAAGUCUUAAUAUAAUACUUGUGUUUGCAUCUCUGAGAAAGCAUUGUGUUACACCCAAUCGCUAACAUUGUCAGUGUUGUGCAUUGUUGUUAAUCAAUUUAGGAGACAGUUGCGCAUCUUGAAGAAAAUAGCGGAAAAAGGGGCCCUGUGGCACCCCUAGAAAGGAAACAUGCCUCUUCCCAGGUAAAUCCGUAUAUUCUUUUUUCUUUUAGUGAUUAUUUGUUUUCACAUGAUCUUAUUUCAUUUAUCUCCUCUCUUACUGACCGGGUAAUAUGCAUUGUUAGCUUAGUUGUAUAUGUACAUUGACAUAAUCAGAGCCUCAUCUACAACCAUCUUGUGUUGAACACUAAUUUCUUUGAGCCUCAUGUCAGCUUAAUUUAUAUUAUGUAUUUUUAUAUUUUGGAACUGAAAAAAUGUAUCUUUACAUUUGUUUUGCUCUAUGGACAUUGGACUGUACGAGGAUCAACUCCAAAUUGCAUAAGUUACUGCUUGGUAGGGCGGAUAACCUUUUGGCUUCUUCUUUGUAAAUAAUAUGUAUGGAGCAAGAAAGGGUUGGUGUUGAUUCCGUCAGUCAUCUUGAAAUCAGCUGGAGACUGAUCUGCGGCAAUGUUAAUUCUCUUGAAAACCCAAUGUUGAUGUCUAGGCGUUAGCUCUUUAAAUGUAAACGACUUUGCAGUUCAUAAUCUGUAACUUUAUAUCAUAGAGAUUUGUCACUUACAUUCUGAAAA
This is a long non-coding RNA of Brassica napus (rape), 2821 nucleotides long. RefSeq lists it as uncharacterized. NCBI's taxonomy places the organism in Eukaryota, Viridiplantae, Streptophyta, Magnoliopsida, Brassicales, Brassicaceae. The record is from RefSeq and is a predicted model, not a curated record. The transcript has 4 exons.